AUAUUCUGAAAAUGGUUUAACAAAAAUAAUAAUAAUUUGUAAUAAAUAAUUAUUCUUGGUAUUUUCAAGUGCCCACGAUAACGAUAUCGUGCAUAUUCAUUAUCGUGAUAUAUCGCAUUACCGAAU
Sinocyclocheilus rhinocerous is the source of this 126-nucleotide long non-coding RNA. RefSeq lists it as uncharacterized. The transcript has 3 exons. NCBI's taxonomy places the organism in Eukaryota, Metazoa, Chordata, Actinopteri, Cypriniformes, Cyprinidae. The record is from RefSeq and is a predicted model, not a curated record.